AGCAGCCGCGGUAAUUCCAGCUCCAAUAGCGUAUAUUAAAGUUGUUGCAGUUAAAAAGCUCGUAGUUGAAUUUCGAGAUCAGUACGCUGGUCGUGCCUUUGGUAUGCACUGGUGUCACUGGUUUCUCCCUUCUGAAGAACUGUCAUGCCAUUCAGUUGGUGUGGCGGGGAAUCAGGACUGUUACUUUGAAAAAAUUAGAGUGUUUAAAGCAGGCUCGCGCUUGAAUACAUUAGCAUGGAAUAAUGAAAUAGGACGUUUGACCCUAUUUUGUUGGUUUCUAGGAUCGACGUAAUGAUUAAUAGGGAUAGUUGGGGGCAUUAGUAUUCAAUUGUCAGAGGUGAAAUUCUUGGAUUUAUUGAAGACUAACUACUGCGAAAGCAUUUGCCAAGGAUGUUUUCAUUAAUCAAGAACGAAAGUUAGGGGAUCGAAGACGAUCAGAUACCGUCGUAGUCUUAACCAUAAACUAUGCCGACUAGGGAUCGGAUGAUGUUAAUUUUUAAUGACUCA
Molecule: ribosomal RNA, 507 nt
Filed under: uncultured Glomus
Lineage: Eukaryota; Fungi; Glomeromycota; Glomeromycetes; Glomerales; Glomeraceae
Description: SSU rRNA
Rfam family: Eukaryotic small subunit ribosomal RNA
Source: RNAcentral